ACCCCACAGAUUUCCGCCUCCACGGGCCGCACAAAAUCGACCGCGGUCCGCACAAAACCAGUGCGGUCCGCACAAAAACGACCGGGGCCGCACAAGCUUUUCUCUACAGUGACAGACUUUAGUCUUUUGGCCAUAACAUUCGCUACAGAUGUCCAAAUUGCGAUAUCUUUACAUUUCUGGAAUCUAGACACGAAGGGCUACACCUUUCGUUUUUGAAUCAUCUUAAAAUUCCUUGUAGAUCAAAAGAUAUGAGCUUCCGAAGUAGGACCAGCGAAAUGUUCUUCACCGCGGCCGCAUACCAUUUUGUGCGGUCCGCACAGCACCUACCGCGGCCGCACACCAUUUUGUGCGGUCUGCGCGGGUGAGUGCCGAGACCUGCAACCUUUCUGGACCUGCUACAGCUAUGAUUUUCGGCCUAAAACAUCCCGGAACCUACCCGGAACUCCCGGAACUUCAAACCAAUUGUACCAACACAUCCCAUGACAUCGUUCAAACUUGUUCAAAACUCCAGAACGCUCUCAACAACAUCAAAUCACCAAUUUAACAUAGGAUUCAAGCCUAGAAACUCCAAGAACUCUUAAAUUAUGCUUUCGAUCAAAAAGUCUAUCAAUCUCGUCCGAAUGACCUGAAAUUUUGCA
RNAcentral lists this long non-coding RNA (638 nucleotides) under Nicotiana tabacum (common tobacco). RNAcentral describes it as "long non-coding RNA (NTAB_LNC019177)". Lineage: Eukaryota; Viridiplantae; Streptophyta; Magnoliopsida; Solanales; Solanaceae. The record is from RNAcentral.